AUGCUCGCGCAACAGUUCCUGGUCCGCCCCAGAUCCCAGGCCCAUGCCCUCGACCGCGUCAUGGCCGCCGUCCUGGCCAUCAAGUUGUUGGAGGAGCACCUCAUCCCGCGCCGCGCUGAGUGCCUCGCCAGAGGCAAGGCCCCCGUCCCCGGAAAGACCCCCGACUCCUCCACCUCCUCGCCGGACAGCAGCCCCGACAGGGACGACCCGGACCCGGUUGUGGCCGCCACUGAGGCCCUUGCCAAGGUCGACCUCUCCGACGACCCGGACACCACCGCCACCGCCAAGUCCGGCUCCAGCAAGCCCCGUCAGGCAGCCAGAGGCGGCGGCGGCGACGUGGGCAAGUCGCUCGACUACAUGUACUGCGCGUGCAGGAUCGCUCGCCGUGAAGCGCAUCGACAUCGCCGUCUCCGUCCUCUCCCACUUCAUGGAGCCCAAGAAGCUCGCCAGCCUCGCCGAGUGACGCGUGGAGCGGCAGCAACAGCAGGACGCCGCCGUGCCAUUCCUCGUGGGCGGCAACGAGGUCAGCUUCGGUUGCCCCGGCAGCUUCAGGCCACCAUCGCCGGGCGCCGGCGUGCUCCCCCUCGUCCACUCUGGCCACAACCUGGGCAGCAGGCGCUCGUCACGAUUAAGGCGUCCUGCGGGUUAAUUUCCAUAUAUAGUAGGGGGCUGAAUGCAAAAUGGGGUGCGCUGACUGGCUCGGCCGAGCUGGCUCCACUUGGCGGCUGUUCAUUGGCCCAGGACCAAAUUUGCACCUUGAGGACAAGUUGGAGGAUCAAAUAA
This 783-nucleotide ribosomal RNA is filed under the name Triticum aestivum (bread wheat). RNAcentral's name for it is "partial small subunit ribosomal RNA". Lineage: Eukaryota; Viridiplantae; Streptophyta; Magnoliopsida; Poales; Poaceae. The record is from RNAcentral.